RNAcentral lists this ribosomal RNA (253 nucleotides) under uncultured bacterium. Its description in RNAcentral is "partial 16S ribosomal RNA". It matches the Rfam family "Bacterial small subunit ribosomal RNA", at positions 524 to 776 of the family's 1533-position model. The record is from RNAcentral.
UACGUAGGGUGCGAGCGUUAAUCGGAAUUACUGGGCGUAAAGCGUGCGCAGGCGGUUUUGUAAGCCAGAUGUGAAAUCCCCGGGCUUAACCUGGGAAUGGCAUUUGGGACUGCAAGGCUCGAGUGCGGCAGAGGAGACUGGAAUUCCUGGUGUAGCAGUGAAAUGCGUAGAUAUCAGGAGGAACACCGGUGGCGAAGGCGGAUCUCUGGGCCUUACCUGACGCUGAGGAGCGAAAGCAUGGGGAGCAAACAGG